UGCAUUCAUCAAUAAAUGUUAUAAAAUAUCGAGCUCAAAAAAGAGAAGGGAUUCUAGUAGGACCCCAAAUAUCAAAGUGAAUGAUAAUAAAGGGUUGAGAACAUUUAUUCAAUCUAGGCAAAUAUGGCACUCUAUGACUUUUUGCAAGUUCACAAACAUCACAACGAAAUUCAAAAAUAUUCAAUCCAUGAAACAAAUGAGGUUUUAAUUUUUUAAGAUAUUCAAAAGAUAAAUGUCCCAAUCUUCG
RNAcentral lists this unclassified non-coding RNA (247 nucleotides) under Hevea brasiliensis (rubber tree). The record is from RNAcentral. Lineage: Eukaryota; Viridiplantae; Streptophyta; Magnoliopsida; Malpighiales; Euphorbiaceae.